Molecule: long non-coding RNA, 654 nt
Filed under: Chinchilla lanigera (long-tailed chinchilla)
Lineage: Eukaryota; Metazoa; Chordata; Mammalia; Rodentia; Chinchillidae
Description: lncRNA (ENSCLAG00000029070.1)
Source: RNAcentral
UGCUCACCCUCUCGGGACCUGGCGGGGGCAGGGUCCCAAGUGAGGUAGCGACGGCAGCCAGGGAGACGUUCUUGCGGAAGGCGCCGGAGCCUCCAGCUCCUACCCAUCUCUGCUCCGGCCUCUGGCCAGAAGAGCUGGCCCGGGGCUGGCAGGCCGCUCUGCAUGCAUCUACAUUCUCUUUGGAUCCGAAGUGUUCGCUCUCGCUCCUGCUCUCAUACCUAUGUCCCAGACAGUGUGGAAGAAACGCCAAAGGGAGCCCAGGCCCAUUCUUUUUAAGGGCACUGUGGUAGACUAACUAAUCGUCAACUUGUAACACCCAGCUGAACUGAAUCAGCGUGGUGCUGGGCGUGGGGGGCCCACCUGAGGAGUGUCACCAGCAGCAUAAAAGAACCGGAGGGGAAGAUGGUGAAUCUCCUGGAGAAGCAUGUCUUGCUGGUUUCCCUGACGUGAACUCUGCUGUUCUCAUCAUCAGAGGAGCUCGGGUCCUCGCUGUCACUGAGGAUGGCUGAGGUUCUCUUUCGGGGAGUUCUGGUCGUUAUCUUGCGCAUCACUUCCUGGCUCCAGUGCAGAUCCCUCAGCUGCUGGCACAGAUCCUUCAUCCCGCCGGCACAGACUUUGUAGCUUCCACCACUGGCCUUUGGGCCUUCCCAGUGC